RNAcentral lists this ribosomal RNA (492 nucleotides) under uncultured bacterium. RNAcentral describes it as "partial 16S ribosomal RNA". It matches the Rfam family "Bacterial small subunit ribosomal RNA", at positions 29 to 507 of the family's 1533-position model. The record is from RNAcentral.
AGUGAACGCUGGCGGUAGGCCUAACACAUGCAAGUCGAACGGCAGCACAGUAAGAGCUUGCUCUUACGGGUGGCGAGUGGCGGGCGGGUGAGGAAUACAUCGGAAUCUACUUUUUCGUGGGGGAUAACGUAGGGAAACUUACGCUAAUACCGCAUACGACCUACGGGUGAAAGCAGGGGAUCUUCGGACCUUGCGCGAUUGAAUGAGCCGAUGUCGGAUUAGCUAGUUGGCGGGGUAAAGGCCCACCAAGGCGACGAUCCGUAGCUGGUCUGAGAGGAUGAUCAGCCACACUGGAACUGAGACACGGUCCAGACUCCUACGGGAGGCAGCAGUGGGGAAUAUUGGACAAUGGGCGCAAGCCUGAUCCAGCCAUACCGCGUGGGUGAAGAAGGCCUUCGGGUUGUAAAGCCCUUUUGUUGGGAAAGAAAAGCAGCAGGUUAAUACCCCGCUGUUCUGACGGUACCCAAAGAAUAAGCGCCGGCUAACUUCGUG